AGCCAAGCCAAGCAAAGAUGUCAACAUGCUGAUAUUGCUGCUGCAGCAAAUAAAAACAAGUCAGGACUUUCAAGUAGGCAAGAAAAUCAAUUAUGAAUUAAUUUCCUUUAUCAUUUUCUGCUGAAACGUAGUUGCUUAUGAAGUUAUGAUGGACUUCAUUUCUGCAGCUACAAUGUCUUAUAUAAGGGGUUAGCUUUAUAGCAUUUAUCUCCCUCAAAACCUGAUGAAUCCCCAUUAAAGGUAACACAUUAGCAAAGAAAACUGAACCCUUCUUAGCAAAUCACUUUAGCGUAACAACGCUAUGCAUGCCCUGCAAUGUGAAAGAUAUAUCAAGCAUUAACAAAACUACACAGUUGUCGUAGCAAUUGCUUGAAUUUUGGCAGGACACUCAGGAAUAUAUUAAAUGAGGUUAUUUUGUCGUUCUACAUAAAAUGGCGACUGGCUCUAUGAUUUGACACACCGUUUCUCGGCUCUUCUCCACCAAUACCUGGGCUCUUUUGCCGCCGUCCACUGCUUUUCAGGGGCAUGAUAUAGGAUAAAAAAGGGGGAAGCUAUGAAUUGAAGAUUUUCUGUACCUACUUCGCAAGGGAGAUGGGGUGUUGGGAAGCAUGGCUUAAUCAAAUCUUAAAGGGUCCAUGAAUGCUAAGCUAAAUCAAAACACUGGCUUAUGUUACAAAUUUGAUAAAGCAUAGUCAAUCCAGUUCUUAUCAAAUUAUAAUGCAACAGAGCAAUGGUGAAUGUGGAAGAGAAGGAU
Molecule: long non-coding RNA, 754 nt
Organism: Hevea brasiliensis (rubber tree)
Lineage: Eukaryota; Viridiplantae; Streptophyta; Magnoliopsida; Malpighiales; Euphorbiaceae
Exons: 3
Source: RefSeq, a predicted model, not a curated record